UUGGAGGGCAAGUCUGGUGCCAGCAGCCGCGGUAAUUCCAGCUCCAAUAGCGUAUAUUAAAGUUGCUGCAGUUAAAAAGCUCGUAGUUGAAUUUCGGGACCAAUAUAUCGGUCGUGCUUUUGUACGUACUGGUAUAAUUGGUUUCUCCCUUCUGAAGAACCUUGAUGUCAUUAAUUUGGUGUCUUGGGGAAUCAGGACUGUUACUUUGAAAAAAUUAGAGUGUUUAAAGCAGGCUCGCGCUUGAAUACAUUAGCAUGGAAUAAUGAAAUAGGACGUUUGAUUCUAUUUUGUUGGUUUCUAGGAUCGACGUAAUGAUUAAUAGGGAUAGUUGGGGGCAUUAGUAUUCAAUUGUCAGAGGUGAAAUUCUUGGAUUUAUUGAAGACUAACUACUGCGAAAGCAUUUGCCAAGGAUGUUUUCAUUAAUCAAGAACGAAAGUUAGGGGAUCGAAGACGAUCAGAUACCGUCGUAGUCUUAACCAUAAACUAUGCCGACUAGGGAUCGGAUGAUGUUAAUUUUUUAAUGACUCAUUCGGCGCCUUACGGGAAAC
RNAcentral lists this ribosomal RNA (548 nucleotides) under uncultured Glomus. RNAcentral describes it as "SSU rRNA". It matches the Rfam family "Eukaryotic small subunit ribosomal RNA", at positions 548 to 1098 of the family's 1831-position model. Lineage: Eukaryota; Fungi; Glomeromycota; Glomeromycetes; Glomerales; Glomeraceae. The record is from RNAcentral.